This 103-nucleotide microRNA precursor is filed under the name Marmota monax (woodchuck). Lineage: Eukaryota; Metazoa; Chordata; Mammalia; Rodentia; Sciuridae. The record is from RNAcentral.
AGGGGAAUAGCUGAGUCAAAUGGUAAAUCCAUUCCAAAUUUUCUAAGGAAUCUCCAUACUGCUUUCCAGAGUGGUUGCACCAAUUUGCAAUCCCAGCAGCAAU